GAUGAACGCUGGCGGCGUGCUUAACACAUGCAAGUCGAACGGGAUCCAAGGGGUGCUUGCCCUUUUUGGUGAGAGUGGCGAACGGGUGAGUAACACGUGAGUAACCUGUCCUUUUCUUUGGGAUAAGCAUUCGAAAGGGUGUUUAAUACCUUAUGUUCUGUCUGCCUCGCAUGGGGUGGGUGGGAAAGGCUUUGGCCGGAUUUGGGUGGGCUCGCGGUCUAUCAGCUUGUUGGUGGGGUGAUGGCUUACCAAGGCUUUGACGGGUAGCCGGCCUGAGAGGGUGGUCAGUCACAUUGGGACUGAGAUACGGCCCAGACUCCUGCGGGAGGCAGCAGUGGGGGAAAUUGCACAAUGGGCGAAAGCCUGAUGCAGCGACGCCGCGUGGGGGAUGAAGGCCUUCGGGUUGUAAACUUCUUUUGCUCUGAACAAGGCAUGCCAGUGGGUGUGUUGAGUGUAGGGGUUGAUUAGCGCCGGCUAACUACGUG
Molecule: ribosomal RNA, 485 nt
Filed under: uncultured bacterium
Lineage: Bacteria
Description: partial 16S ribosomal RNA
Rfam family: Bacterial small subunit ribosomal RNA
Source: RNAcentral